This is a non-coding RNA of Ciona intestinalis (vase tunicate), 973 nucleotides long. NCBI's taxonomy places the organism in Eukaryota, Metazoa, Chordata, Ascidiacea, Phlebobranchia, Cionidae. The record is from RefSeq and is a predicted model, not a curated record.
AUUUUAUUUUUUUUUAUUUUUUUUUUAUUUAUUUUUUAUUUGGCUAUAGUUGUACAUAUGCAUUUUAUAAGUUAUGAUUAUAUACAUGUAAAAGUAACUUACCGGCCAAUGUCGCUAAUUCACUUUCAGUAAUCUGUGGUGGGGGGACUUCGAUGGCAUCCAAUAAUGGGGCUGGGGGUUCAGCACCUGGCAGUGGUGUACCUAGAAUCGAAAAAGUAAAGUAUUACGUACGUCAACGGAUUUGCAAAUUUUGGAAACUCUCGGGUCAGGUUUAGGCGAAAGGUAAACUUCGUGCAGAGCAGUUCGAGUUCCAACAAUUUUGACUUAUCACAUCCUCAACACGACAUUAUCAAUAUAGAGUGAUAUCCCUCUGUGAACAUAAUUUUAAAUGGACAAAUAGGUUGUGUAUUUUUGGAAAUAAAAAAUAUAUUUAAAUGCAAUAUAUGCGCGUCAUAUACGUUUAUCGUGACAGUAAGUUAUUAAACUCCCAAAAUAUUUAAAAUCCUGCAUAUUUUUGCUUAGUGACGUAUUUAGAUUUAUACCUUCGAUAUUCAAGGAAAACUUAGUUACAGUUGUUAAAUAAUAAAAAGCAAACUGCAAUUCGUUAAAGACGUACACACCGAAGAAUUUUAUCUGUAUUUUGUGAUGGACUUUUGUUAGUGUUAUAUGUAUAUGCGACUCUAAAUCACAACACCAGACCAAGUAUACGUUACAAUACAGCAUCGUUCCAGUUAUGUACUAUUGUUAUAUUACAUCAUAUAAGCCUUAUAACCGGGUCAAACAGUGCAAUGGUCAUCCAGCGUUAAAGAAACCGCGUUAACUCAGAGCGGAAAUUAUCUACAGCUCAUUGUUGUUGGGAUUAUAUACGUCAUAAUAUUCGCUACUUUAUUACAAUUAAUCGUGUGUCAUCGCGUUAGUUGGUGAUUUUGUCUAUAGUUAAGUUUGUGUGCAAAAUAAAGGAAAUAUUAUUGUG